Molecule: ribosomal RNA, 1442 nt
Filed under: uncultured organism
Description: SSU rRNA
Rfam family: Bacterial small subunit ribosomal RNA
Source: RNAcentral
AACGCUAGCUACAGGCUUAACACAUGCAAGUCGAGGGGCAGCAUGGUCUUAGCUUGCUAAGGCCGAUGGCGACCGGCGCACGGGUGAGUAACACGUAUCCAACCUGCCGUCUACUCUUGGACAGCCUUCUGAAAGGAAGAUUAAUACAAGAUGGUAUCAUGAGUCCACAUGUUCACAUGAUUAAAGGUAUUCCGGUAGACGAUGGGGAUGCGUUCCAUUAGAUAGUAGGCGGGGUAACGGCCCACCUAGUCUUCGAUGGAUAGGGGUUCUGAGAGGAAGGUCCCCCACAUUGGAACUGAGACACGGUCCAAACUCCUACGGGAGGCAGCAGUGAGGAAUAUUGGUCAAUGGGCGAGAGCCUGAACCAGCCAAGUAGCGUGAAGGAUGACUGCCCUAUGGGUUGUAAACUUCUUUUAUAAAGGAAUAAAGUCGGGUAUGGAUACCCGUUUGCAUGUACUUUAUGAAUAAGGAUCGGCUAACUCCGUGCCAGCAGCCGCGGUAAUACGGAGGAUCCGAGCGUUAUCCGGAUUUAUUGGGUUUAAAGGGAGCGUAGAUGGAUGUUUAAGUCAGUUGUGAAAGUUUGCGGCUCAACCGUAAAAUUGCAGUUGAUACUGGAUAUCUUGAGUGCAGUUGAGGCAGGCGGAAUUCGUGGUGUAGCGGUGAAAUGCUUAGAUAUCACGAAGAACUCCGAUUGCGAAGGCAGCCUGCUAAGCUGCAACUGACAUUGAGGCUCGAAAGUGUGGGUAUCAAACAGGAUUAGAUACCCUGGUAGUCCACACGGUAAACGAUGAAUACUCGCUGUUUGCGAUAUACAGCAAGCGGCCAAGCGAAAGCGUUAAGUAUUCCACCUGGGGAGUACGCCGGCAACGGUGAAACUCAAAGGAAUUGACGGGGGCCCGCACAAGCGGAGGAACAUGUGGUUUAAUUCGAUGAUACGCGAGGAACCUUACCCGGGCUUAAAUUGCAGAUGAAUUACGGUGAAAGCCGUAAGCCGCAAGGCAUCUGUGAAGGUGCUGCAUGGUUGUAGUCAGCUCGUGCCGUGAGGUGUCGGCUUAAGUGCCAUAACGAGCGCAACCCUUGUUGUCAGUUACUAACAGGUUCUGUUGAGGACUCUGACAAGACUGCCAUCGUAAGAUGUGAGGAAGGUGGGGAUGACGUCAAAUCAGCACGGCCCUUACGUCCGGGGCUACACACGUGUUACAAUGGGGGGUACAGAGGGCCGCUACCACGCGAGUGGAUGCCAAUCCCCAAAACCUCUCUCAGUUCGGACUGGAGUCUGCAACCCGACUCCACGAAGCUGGAUUCGCUAGUAAUCGCGCAUCAGCCACGGCGCGGUGAAUACGUUCCCGGGCCUUGUACACACCGCCCGUCAAGCCAUGGGAGCCGGGGGUACCUGAAGUGCGUAACCGCGAGGAGCGCCGUAGGGUAAAACUGGUGACUGG